This 253-nucleotide ribosomal RNA is filed under the name uncultured bacterium. RNAcentral's name for it is "partial 16S ribosomal RNA". It matches the Rfam family "Bacterial small subunit ribosomal RNA", at positions 524 to 776 of the family's 1533-position model. The record is from RNAcentral.
GACGAACCGUGCGAACGUUGUUCGGAAUCACUGGGCUUAAAGGGCGCGUAGGCGGGCUGUCAAGUCUGGGGUGAAAUCCCACGGCUCAACCGUGGAACUGCCUUAGAUACUGACGGCCUCGAGGGAGAUAGGGGCGAGCGGAACUGUGAGUGGAGCGGUGAAAUGCGUUGAUAUUCACAGGAACUCCGGUGGCGAAGGCGGCUCGCUGGAUCUUUUCUGACGCUGAGGCGCGAAAGCUAGGGGAGCAAACAGG